UGCAGAUUACCAAUAGGUUGGUUUGAUGUUGAAGAAGACAAGUUUGUAGACUCUCAGAACUUGUACAAGAUACAAUAGAGAAAGAUUAAGAUGGUUCCAAAUCAUUUGGUUACAAUUUAGAGUAGGCAAGAGUCUGAUGUUGGUAGGAGGCGACACCCUUCAAGUUUGUCGAUUGCGAUCAUGUGUUCUUACGCGUUUCUCUAAUGAAGUGAGUGUAUAGUUUGGUAAGGAAGGGAAGUUAAGUUCAAGAUUUCUUUAAUGUAGGUACUUUAGCGAGGACCAUCUAGUGAAGAGAUGACUUAGGAACCAGACUAUGCACGAGAAGUAUCCACUCUUAUUUGAAACCCAGUGUUAGCUCAAAAUUCGAGGACGAAUUUUCUUUAAGGGGGGAAGAUUGAAAUGAUCCGUUUUAAAAUAAAAGUGGGGACAAAAAAAAAGACAGAGAAUAGAAGAUUAGAAAAAAAAAAACAAGAAAAACAAAAAUCUAACCUUUAAAAAACCCACCGUAACCCCACCCUAUUCCUAAUGAAAAAAAAAACAAUUCCCUAAUUCUUAAAACAAAACCACGUAAUACUACCCCAUCUACCCACUACUUUUCUAUCUAAACCUUAUGUUCUCUCUCGUUUUUGCUCUGCGUCAGAGAGCAAGCAAUUGAUUAUCUCCCACAAAUUCUUGUUCAUCUUUUGUUCUUUUUCACUACAAGUUCCACACCAAAUUUCCGAUUCCAAUAGACACCCAUGAAGGAAUAUUUUGGCAUCCAAGUGGAAGUGCUUUUGGGAUAAUUUUGAGGGUUAGGGUUUGUGCUCUAAGGAAGGAGAAGAGUAUCCACUCCUACAGAAUUGUUCUUCCUAUUUCAUUGAGAUCUGCCGGUUAGUGGUUCGUUUGGUUGUCGCGCCGUUGUAGAGAGCAAUCGUGUUGGUUCUUCGUAACUGCUUGCCAGGCUAAGGUGAUAGUCUGUGCGCCGGUCACGGCUUAGGAUUUUGGGUCGUGACACCUUGAGAAAAUAAUGAGAGUUUCGAUCACCAUCUUUUAGCCAUUCACCCUCGCCUUUUGAAGCCACAUCCUUUCUUCCAAUCUAUAUUCUUUCCACAGAUGAUUAAGGAUCUGAAGCCUAUUCUUACGCAAGUCAUCGGAGACUCCAUCCCUCUCCAUUCUGGUCACAACCUCAUGAAGUUCACCUUCCAGAAUUUUGAUUUUCUCUGAACCCCACACGCCCCU
Lotus japonicus is the source of this 1218-nucleotide long non-coding RNA. RefSeq lists it as uncharacterized. The transcript has 3 exons. NCBI's taxonomy places the organism in Eukaryota, Viridiplantae, Streptophyta, Magnoliopsida, Fabales, Fabaceae. The record is from RefSeq and is a predicted model, not a curated record.